Molecule: non-coding RNA, 30 nt
Filed under: Rattus norvegicus (Norway rat)
Lineage: Eukaryota; Metazoa; Chordata; Mammalia; Rodentia; Muridae
Source: RNAcentral
AUUCAAUAAUUGUUUACUGAGCCUUUAAGC